Molecule: transfer RNA, 75 nt
Filed under: Chloroflexi bacterium HGW-Chloroflexi-6
Lineage: Bacteria; Bacillati; Chloroflexota
Description: tRNA-Arg
Rfam family: tRNA
About the family: Transfer RNA (tRNA) molecules are approximately 80 nucleotides in length.
Source: RNAcentral
GCCCUCGUAGCUCAGUGGACAGAGCGUUGGCCUCCGGAGCCAGAGAGCACGGUUCGAGUCCGUGCGAGGGUACAA